ACGGAAUAGAUACCCAGGUAGUCCACGCCCUAAACGAUGUAUGCUUGGUGUUGGGAAGCAAUUCUCAGUGCCGAAAGGAAAACCCAUUAAGCAUACCACCUGGGGAGUACGAUCGCAAGGUUGAAACUCAAAGGAAUUGACGGGGGCCCGCACAAGCGGUGGAUCAUGUGGUUUAAAUUCGAUGCAACGCGAAGAACCUUACCUGGGCUCGAAAUGUAGGUAGUAGGACCCUGAAAGGGGAACGAUGGGUUAAGUCCCAAGCCUAUAUAGGUGCUGCAUGGCUGUCGUCAGCUCGUGCCGUGAGGUGUUGGGUUAAGUCCCGCAACGAGCG
This 331-nucleotide ribosomal RNA is filed under the name uncultured bacterium. RNAcentral describes it as "bacterial SSU rRNA". It matches the Rfam family "Bacterial small subunit ribosomal RNA", at positions 772 to 1098 of the family's 1533-position model. The record is from RNAcentral.